Molecule: ribosomal RNA, 614 nt
Filed under: Staphylococcus aureus
Lineage: Bacteria; Bacillati; Bacillota; Bacilli; Caryophanales; Staphylococcaceae
Description: bacterial SSU rRNA
Rfam family: Bacterial small subunit ribosomal RNA
Source: RNAcentral
AAGACGGUCUUGCUGUCACUUAUAGAUGGAUCCGCGCUGCAUUAGCUAGUUGGUAAGGUAACGGCUUACCAAGGCAACGAUGCAUAGCCGACCUGAGAGGGUGAUCGGCCACACUGGAACUGAGACACGGUCCAGACUCCUACGGGAGGCAGCAGUAGGGAAUCUUCCGCAAUGGGCGAAAGCCUGACGGAGCAACGCCGCGUGAGUGAUGAAGGUCUUCGGAUCGUAAAACUCUGUUAUUAGGGAAGAACAUAUGUGUAAGUAACUGUGCACAUCUUGACGGUACCUAAUCAGAAAGCCACGGCUAACUACGUGCCAGCAGCCGCGGUAAUACGUAGGUGGCAAGCGUUAUCCGGAAUUAUUGGGCGUAAAGCGCGCGUAGGCGGUUUUUUAAGUCUGAUGUGAAAGCCCACGGCUCAACCGUGGAGGGUCAUUGGAAACUGGAAAACUUGAGUGCAGAAGAGGAAAGUGGAAUUCCAUGUGUAGCGGUGAAAUGCGCAGAGAUAUGGAGGAACACCAGUGGCGAAGGCGACUUUCUGGUCUGUAACUGACGCUGAUGUGCGAAAGCGUGGGGAUCAAACAGGAUUAGAUACCCUGGUAGUCCACGCCGUAAA